CCCCAGGUGGCUCAGUGGUAAAGAAUCUGCCUGCAAUGCAGGAGACCUGGGUUUGAUCCCUGGGUUGGGAA
Molecule: transfer RNA, 71 nt
Organism: Ovis aries (sheep)
Lineage: Eukaryota; Metazoa; Chordata; Mammalia; Artiodactyla; Bovidae
Rfam family: tRNA
About the family: Transfer RNA (tRNA) molecules are approximately 80 nucleotides in length. Their secondary structure includes four short double-helical elements and three loops (D, anti-codon, and T loops).
Source: Rfam